GAGGAGGAGGAAUCUCAGCAUUUGCCCUGCUCUGUCUGCAUGAGGCCAGAGAGCAACCUGACCAGAGUUGACAAGCGGGAAGACAGGUGGCAAGUGACACCCUGCUCCUGUUGUCGUAAUAGUGAAGGAGAACGCUGCAUUUCUGCGGGUGUCAUAGCGACUCCCCCGGGGAGCAAUCAUGCUGCGCCCGAGGCUUAGAGCCUCACAGCGAGGGGCUGGGAGCACCCAAGAGGAGGGACUGACAUGGGAGAGAUGGAGCCAUGCGUGUUGGUGACACUGGACCCGGACUCCGUCCUGGCGACCCGACCUGGGACUCUCAAAGGACUUAAAAACUUCUGCCCACACAAACACCCACGGCCAGAUGUCCAUGGCAGCUUUAUGUGAGACGACUUGAGAGCGAACACAGUCGGGAGAUGAGAGGUUCAGCACUACGAGGACAUCCAGACAAUCGGUGUCACCCGGGCUGAAGGAGAGGCUCAUGUGCACAGCAUGAAGUCAGAGAGGCCAAGAGCCCCAAGAGGCCGUAGGUGGGAUUCCAGCUCAUGACUUCUGGGGAGCUGGGAGUGGGUACAGCAAAGCUGCAAGGGAGGCCAAGGGCUGGGUGGAAGGCAGGGGACCAUGCUAGGGGGUGAUGCAUCAGUGCUGGGCCAAGUCCUUGUCCACACCGCUGUGGCUGGGGGCCCUGAUGUGCACCUGUUGGGGGGACCUCGACAGUGUAGGAGCAUCGUGCAUGGGGACAGGGCUAUGUCCCUUAAGCCCUACUUUCUGCU
Fukomys damarensis (Damara mole-rat) is the source of this 770-nucleotide long non-coding RNA. RefSeq lists it as uncharacterized. Lineage: Eukaryota; Metazoa; Chordata; Mammalia; Rodentia; Bathyergidae. The record is from RefSeq and is a predicted model, not a curated record. The transcript is spliced from 3 exons.